Molecule: ribosomal RNA, 433 nt
Filed under: uncultured bacterium
Lineage: Bacteria
Description: partial 16S ribosomal RNA
Rfam family: Bacterial small subunit ribosomal RNA
Source: RNAcentral
AACGAACGCUGGCGGCAUGCCUAACACAUGCAAGUCGAACGAAGUCUUCGGACUUAGUGGCGCACGGGUGCGUAACGCGUGGGAAUCUGCCCUUGGGUACGGAAUAACUCAGAGAAAUGUGUGCUAAUACCGUAUAAUGUCUUCGGACCAAAGAUUUAUCGCCCAAGGAUGAGCCCGCGUAAGAUUAGCUAGUUGGUGGGGUAAAAGCCUACCAAGGCGACGAUCUUUAGCUGGUCUGGGAGGAUGAUCAGCCACACUGGGACUGAGACACGGCCCAGACUCCUACGGGGGGCAGCAGUAGGGAAUAUUGGACAAUGAGCGAGAGCCUGAUCCAGCAAUGCCGCGUGAGAGAUGAAGGCCCUAGGGUGGUAAAGCUCUUUUACCAGGGAUGAUAAUGACAGUACCUGGAGAAUAAGCGCCGGCUAACUACGUG